GACGUAGGGCGCAAGCGUUGUCCGGAUUUAUUGGGCGUAAAGAGCUCGUAGGCGGCCUGUCGCGUCGACCGUGAAAACCCGCAGCUCGACUGCGGGCUUGCGGUCGAUACGGGCAGGCUGGAGUUCGGUAGGGGAGACUGGAAUUCCUGGUGUAGCGGUGAAAUGCGCAGAUAUCAGGAGGAACACCGGUGGCGAAGGCGGGUCUCUGGGCCGAUACUGACGCUGAGGAGCGAAAGCGUGGGGAGCGAACAGG
This 253-nucleotide ribosomal RNA is filed under the name uncultured bacterium. RNAcentral describes it as "partial 16S ribosomal RNA". It matches the Rfam family "Bacterial small subunit ribosomal RNA", at positions 524 to 776 of the family's 1533-position model. The record is from RNAcentral.